CCUACGGGAGGCAGCAGUGAGGAAUAUUGGUCAAUGGACUUACGCCUGAACCAGCCAAGUCGCGUGAGGGAAGACUGCCCUAUGGGUUGUAAACCUCUUUUGUCAGGGAGCAACGCCGGCUACGUGUAGCCGGACUGAGAGUACCUGAAGAAAAAGCAUCGGCUAACUCCGUGCCAGCAGCCGCGGUAAUACGGAGGAUGCGAGCGUUAUCCGGAUUUAUUGGGUUUAAAGGGUGCGUAGGCGGAAUGCCAAGUCAGCGGUAAAAUCGCGGGGCUCAACCUCGCUCCGCCGUUGAAACUGGCGGUCUUGAGUGGGCGAGAAGUAUGCGGAAGGCGUGGUGUAGCGGUGAAAUGCAUAGAUAUCACGCAGAACUCCGAUUGCGAAGGCAGCAUACCGGCGCCCAACUGACGCUGAAGCACGAAAGCGUGGGUAUCGAACAGGAUUAGAUACCCGUGUAGUC
RNAcentral lists this ribosomal RNA (460 nucleotides) under uncultured bacterium. RNAcentral describes it as "partial 16S ribosomal RNA". It matches the Rfam family "Bacterial small subunit ribosomal RNA", at positions 338 to 795 of the family's 1533-position model. The record is from RNAcentral.